AGGUUCAUCAAAUUUGGCCGAAGGGUUUGAAAGAUAUGAUGUUUUGAAGUUCUAGGGCUUUUCUGCAAAAUAGCCAUUUAAUUUAACCGGGAAUUAAGUUUUUAUUUAAAAACCGUGACACGUGGCGUGCUGUGAUUGGCCAGUACCGAUUCGGGGUUAAAAUAAAACACAGGACGUCGGAUCUAACUGAAAAGCAUCGGGCGGUCCAGAUCUCAAGAUACCCCUUCGCUUUAAGUGAUUUAAUCUUGAUCGUAGAUGGAGAUCGGACGGAUUAGAUCAAGCAUGGGCUUACCGGCGGUGGCGCUAGUGUUCCAGUGACGCUCCGGCAGCUUGGGGACGCGGCGGCAGGGUGUUUCCGCUGGGUUCUCGGCUCUAGGAAACUUGGGGAAGAGGCAACUCCGCGAGGCGAAGACGAUGGCGGUGGCGGUUCUCCUCGAGGGUGACGGUGGCGACGCCUAGGACGAAGGAGAGGCGGCAGCGACGGCAAGCUCUCGGUCGUCGGUGUCCUCGGGUCUACUGCGGCCGGAAGAAGAAAGGGAGCACGUCAGAACGACGAGGGGAGGGAAAAAGAGGAGGAGGGGAGGACGAUGCCGUACCCGUUCGUCGACGGUGACAAAAAGAUGGCGGCGGCGGCGAGCUUGCUCCUGCGAUGAAAUUCGGCAGCGGGGGCGCGAGAUGAGCAAAAUUGGGAGAGGGGAACGGCAGAGAAGGACUCGGGCUUUAUAAUGACGCGCGGGGUAGGUCGCUGGGAGCUCGGGACGAGGAGAUCCUGACUUGCUGUCACGCGUGGCGACUUGCAUCCGGGGAAUACGGACCCAACAGGUGGGCCCCGCCUGUCAGUGACACGCGGCGUUCGGGCGCGCGGGUUGGGCUGCGGGCGAGCGAGGUAAGCAGGCCGGCCCAGUUGGGUCGGUCUGAUUCUUUUUUUUUUGUUGUUCUUUCCUUUUCUUUUUUUUCUUUUUUUGUUUUUCUUUUAUAACUUUUGAUUUUGAACUCCAAAUCAAUUCACAUAAAUUCCAAUUUUUUUGUAAAAUCAUAUUAUUGUAUGAUUCAACUUUGGGGACCAAUUUCCCCUAAAACUAAGAUAGUUAAAAAUAGUUUUGCCCUAUAAAUGCCUUUAGGGCUUCAUCUCUAAUUAAAUAAAAUAGUUUCUCAACUCCAAAUUAAAUACUAAAAAUUAUGGGGUACCUCAUUUAUCCAAUAAACCCCUUUUUUAUAGAUAAACCAUAUUGGUUUAAAAUCCAAAACUCAAAUGGGUAAAAGUCUAAUGAUUAAAAUGAAAUAAAAUCUUUUCAAAGCCAUUUUGGAAGUCAAAUCUUGGUUCAAAAAUGCAAUUGUGGCAUGGCAUGAUGCUCAUGAAUGCAAUGCAUAUGAAAAGUUUCAAAAUUUUGUGAUGUUACACUGCUGCUCGUUGAUGGCGUCGAGGAAUUGGUGCCCCUAAUUGUAGAUGCUUGGGUCCCAGGUGAUUGGGUCCCAAGUCGCCCGGGCAAGAGUGCCGAGGUCUGGGCUGGAGGUAGCGGCGGACCCCCGCCGCCAUGGUUUGGCCGGGGGGAGCACCGU
This 1560-nucleotide long non-coding RNA is filed under the name Brachypodium distachyon (stiff brome). RNAcentral's name for it is "long non-coding RNA (BDIS_LNC003355)". Lineage: Eukaryota; Viridiplantae; Streptophyta; Magnoliopsida; Poales; Poaceae. The record is from RNAcentral.